Long non-coding RNA from Meriones unguiculatus (Mongolian gerbil), 264 nucleotides. RefSeq lists it as uncharacterized. The record is from RefSeq and is a predicted model, not a curated record. The transcript is spliced from 3 exons. Lineage: Eukaryota; Metazoa; Chordata; Mammalia; Rodentia; Muridae.
GCUGUCAGCAUUCCUGGAUCGCAUUCUGAGGCCAGUGUCCACAUCUCCUAAAAGUCCUCAUUUCAGGCUCUAGCCAUCCUUGAGGGUUUGCUGAACAGAGGCCCUAGAGAUGGGAUUUGCCUGAAAGUGUCUCCUGCACCAGCAUUUCUCCCCAGUCCAUAAAGACAAGCUGUACAGAAGGUGGAAAAUAUCAAAGUCGCCACAAAACACGGCGGAAAAGGCAUAUUCCAAUAAAAUGUCACUUUCCCUUUCCAAAUGCCUCCC